Molecule: small RNA, 27 nt
Filed under: Bombyx mori (domestic silkworm)
Lineage: Eukaryota; Metazoa; Arthropoda; Insecta; Lepidoptera; Bombycidae
Description: ovarian small RNA-36774
Source: RNAcentral
UUAUAAACAAUCAAACGUUAUAAUUGC